CCAAGAGUUUGCUCCAGGCUGCUCAGGCUGAGAACCAUUUAUUAAGCUCGUAAAGCCGGGAAAGUCACAGAGUCUGGCCUGAAAGGCUAGGAAAGAGUCCAUUUUCUGAGCUUUCGGCUUGAUGAAGAUUUCUAGGAUUGGGAAGAGUAGAGAGAUCCAACAGCAGCGUGUGGUCAGAGGGAUGGCUCCCACUUGCAGGUUUGGAACAUAAAAACUCCUACAUGAUCCUCCAUACCCUUUCUUCUCUGGCCUACUGGCCAGAUGCAAAUGACCAGCAAAGGACCUCUGAAAUAGAAGAAUCCAGAAUACUUGAAGAACCAUACAGAAUGUUCUCCACUUAACAGGAUAUCCACUUUGGACCUAUUCAAGCAAAUCUCACACAAGGAUCUCAAUUCACAGAUCUUAAACUGGAACCUGGUGGCAAAGACAUUGGAAAUGUGAUUUUCAGGCCUUCAGCUCCUGCACUACAGGAAAGAACAAAGAAGGGUAUGGAAAUGGUUCCAAGAUGUCAAUAGACUAUCCACACAGAGGAUGCAUUUUUGUUUUCUUUAUGUAAGUUUUAUUUUGGAAAUGAGAAAUGGAAAACUCUCUACGUUAGAAUCCUAUA
Hippopotamus amphibius kiboko is the source of this 607-nucleotide long non-coding RNA. RefSeq lists it as uncharacterized. The transcript is spliced from 3 exons. Lineage: Eukaryota; Metazoa; Chordata; Mammalia; Artiodactyla; Hippopotamidae. The record is from RefSeq and is a predicted model, not a curated record.